UCUUCAUUCCGCGUACUCUCUCACCGGUCAGAGAAGCGAGAGAUUGUGUAAAAUGAAGAGA
Molecule: microRNA precursor, 61 nt
Filed under: Pristionchus pacificus
Lineage: Eukaryota; Metazoa; Nematoda; Chromadorea; Rhabditida; Neodiplogasteridae
Description: mir-8364 microRNA precursor family
Rfam family: mir-8364 microRNA precursor family
Source: Rfam by way of RNAcentral